Molecule: ribosomal RNA, 253 nt
Filed under: uncultured bacterium
Lineage: Bacteria
Description: partial 16S ribosomal RNA
Rfam family: Bacterial small subunit ribosomal RNA
Source: RNAcentral
UACGAAGGGGGCUAGCGUUGCUCGGAAUCAUUGGGCGUAAAGGGUGCGUAGGCGGCGCGGUAAGUCGGGUGUGAAAUCUCGGGGCUUAACUCCGAAACUGCAUUCGAUACUGCCGUGCUUGAGGACUGGAGAGGAGACUGGAAUUUACGGUGUAGCGGUGAAAUGCGUAGAUAUCGUAAGGAAGACCAGUGGCGAAGGCGGGUCUCUGGACAGUUCCUGACGCUGAGGCACGAAGGCCAGGGGAGCAAACGGG